RNAcentral lists this ribosomal RNA (253 nucleotides) under uncultured bacterium. RNAcentral describes it as "partial 16S ribosomal RNA". It matches the Rfam family "Bacterial small subunit ribosomal RNA", at positions 524 to 776 of the family's 1533-position model. The record is from RNAcentral.
UACGUAGGCAGCAAGCGUUGUUCGGAGUUACUGGGCGUAAAGGGCGAGUAGGCGGCCUUCUAAGUCAGACGUGAAAUCCCCCGGCUUAACCUGGGAACUGCGUCUGAUACUGGGAGGCUAGAGUAUGGGAGAGGGAUGUGGAAUUCCAGGUGUAGCGGUGAAAUGCGUAGAUAUCUGGAGGAACACCGGUGGCGAAGGCGGCAUCCUGGACCAUUACUGACGCUGAUCCGCGAAAGCUAGGGGAGCAAACGGG